Molecule: RNA transcript, 5226 nt
Organism: Oncorhynchus kisutch (coho salmon)
Lineage: Eukaryota; Metazoa; Chordata; Actinopteri; Salmoniformes; Salmonidae
Gene name: protein FAM110A
Exons: 4
Source: RefSeq, a predicted model, not a curated record
AGGAGCAUGUGAGCUGUCUGACAGGUUUGGCUGGUCUGUUGCUCCCUUCCAUUCUGUCUCUGCAGUAGAAUUCUGCAGUUUGUAUCCUCUGUGGCGUGCUGAGCUGUGGAGAGGCCUAGAGUUCUGUUGGGGACCUGUAAGAUUUUACUUCCAUUCUAAAGGACUUUAGGGCACCAGGGUUCAAGUGACAUCCUUAUGGGAACUGGAAGAAGACGGAACCAUAUCAGCCACAAACAAAAUCCUGUCAGCUUUUGGGGACAGUAUGAUCCUGGAGUGAAGACAUCUGAAUAAUUUUGACUUUGGGUGGCCAAAAAAAGCAGGAUAAAGACAGGAGUCAAGGACAAACAAUCUCACCUGUGCUCCCUCCCAACCCCACCUCCAGCAUGCCUGUGGAGACACUACAGCCUGGCCUGAGACAGCCGGUGGCAGUGAGGGCUGCUGCUGCUGGAAUGCCCAACCGCCUUCUCAUGCCCAACCGCCGCCUCCCCCAGCCAAGAACAUUGGAAGCAGCUGAGCCCAAGCAGAGUGCAGUGGAGAGACUGGCAGUAGACAAGGCUAAAUAUGUCAAGAACCAGGUGGCCCUCUUUAAGCAACAGCCAAUCAAAGUGCCUCUACCUAUCAUGCGCAAGCCUCUGAUGUCCCCUGCCCCCACCCUGCGGCCCACCCGUAAGGCCCAACUGCCUCGCCCUGACUACACCCAGCAAAGGAGUUCCCCACUGGACCUGGAGCACCUGAGUAACCUGAUCAACGGGGUGGGUGAGGCUGAAACUCCCCCUACCUCCCCAACCAUGGACCCAGUGGAGAGUAGUCAGGCCCCUGACUGCCCCACUACCAACUCUCCCUGUCCCUCUCCAAUCUCUGCUGGAGCUGGGUCAGGGGCUGCUGAGAGUAUCCAGACCCUCUGUCCUGAGUGGUCCACUCCAGUCAAAGUUAGGGUAAAUGCCUCUGGCCCACUAAGUCCUACAGGGUCUCCUACUGCUGUGACCAUACGUAGAGUGGACAUCAUACCCCACCACACCACACCAGUGAGGAUACCCCUUAGAGCACAGCAGCAGAUGCGCGUCCCAUUGCAGCCCAUGGCUCUGCAUCCACACACCCAGAUCCACAACACUAUGUCACCUCUGCGUCUCUUCCACCCCCGAACUACCUAUGCACCAGGCCCUGCGUCUCCUAAACCUGUCCCAGCCCCUCCACCACAAAAUCACACCCCAACCCCCACCUCCCCGUCUAGCCCCGUCCAGCUCCCAGCCAACCCCCCCGUACUCCCGCCCUCCCCGUCGGUCACCUGCCUAUCGUCCGGCAGCUCCAGAAAACGUCCCUCUCUGAACCGCUCCAAAUCCGACAUGAGUGACCGUUACUCCCGGGCCAGUACUGAGCUGGAGCGCUUCUUCAACCUGUGUGGUUUGGACACUUCGGAGAUGCAGGUGCUGAAGGGGCCAGGCUCAGACAUCGCCUCCCUUGCACAGUUCCGCAGUGCCAGCGCUCCUGGGUCAGAGUGUGCAGGCCAGGAGGGUGAAGAGGAAGGUGGGGCUGCAGAGCCGGCACCCUAUGGCGUCUCAGUAAUUGAGAGGAACGCCAGAGUUAUCAAGUGGCUUUAUGGUAUCCGCACAUCCAAGGAUAGUGCCAGGAGCACCAACAUGUAGGGCCAUGAGAGACUGAUGUAAAUAGAGGCAGGGGAGAAAAACAUGGAGGUGCACUUUAAACACAAUUCCUGUACAGAGAAAAAAGCAGGAGAAGUGUGACUGCCGGUAUAAACCAACUAAUGAAAAUGAAAGGAAGGGACUGAUCUGGACUAAUAGUGAAGGACACUGUCUGUCAAUGCAGUUUGAUAGUGUUGGACAUAAUUUUGUGCAAAUUAUUUAUUGCAUGGUACUUGGUACCAACACCCGUUUCAUCCAGGGCAAAGCAGCAGUGUUUGGUGAAUGACGCUUCUAUUGAUGAUGUGGAUCCUCUGUACCUCAUCUCCCAUCGGUCAUCAAGGAGGCUCAGAAAAGGCCUGACGUCCAAGGCUACUCACCUUCCUCCAGCCAUUAUCAUUGGUAGUUCCAUGGUGAAGCACAUCUUAGUUGCUGGAGCUAAAACCCUGUGCUACCUGGGGGCUACGGUGAAGGAUAUCACAGGAUUUAUUUUGUCUAUCCUACAUCAGCAGCCAAGAGCUGCUGCUGUUGUAGUGCAUGUGGGAUCAAAUUAUAUCAAAAUGGUAAAUCAGAGAUAAUGAAACAGGAUUUUAUUGAGCUGAUCAACACCCUAAAAGGCUCUGAAAGGCAGCCGAUUAUAUCUGGCUCCGUGCCAUCGCUGAGUCGCGACUGCGAAAGGUUCAGCAGGCUUUUAGCACUUCAUAUCUGGCUUAAAGUCUACUGCCAUUCUGUUGGCAUAACUUUUAUUGACAAUUUUUUACACUUUUUGGAAACAAAAGAUGCUAUACAGGGAUGAUGGACUCCACCAAAACCAUCUACGGUAGGAGCCCGGACUCUCUCGUCACAUUUUAAAGCUGCGUUAAGAUAUUGACUCAGAGACAGACCAAGCCCCACUCAGGCGACAGCAGGUUCGAUUGUGGGUGAAGAUUUCAUCAUAGUAAGUUUGUAUGAAGGUUUGGUUAUUAAAGGGUAAAUAGUUCAAUAGUAAUAUGCUCUAAAACUCUCUGGUGACAAACAAACUUUGCUUCCCUGUUUCCAAUUGUCCACAUGGCUGGGAGAACCUAUUCAAGAAAGAAAGAAAUUUAAAAAAUGUUUUAAAAAAACCUGAUGCAUUAUUAGCUAACUAUAAUAGCUACAGUGCAUGCUAACUCAAAUUAGUUGCUAAAUGAGCUAGCUAGUUGAUUCACUAGCUAUCUAGCCAUCGUCACAUACUGUAUAGAUUGCUGGCGAAGUUAAUUAAAUACCAGCUACCUAACUUCAAAUUAGCUAGCUAUCUUGAUGUAAUUAUCACUGUGAAAAACAAACUCCAAAUGCAUUUGUAUGUAGCUAGAUAACAGCCAUGGAGGGGGUGAAAGGAUAGCAGCCACAACUGUCAACGUGAGAGAGUAGGCUAUUCUGGAUAGGGCAGGUACUUUUGUGUAGUUCCUGUCCCUAGAAGUGAGGAAGGAGAUAAUGGUAACAUAAUAUUCAGUUCGGUGCAAUUUGACUAUAAUGAAGUCUGUCCUCAGAUAAAGAGAGCUAUGAAAGCCUGUCUGCAUAUGAAAAGGUCCCAAUGAAGAGCAGUGGUUUUCGGUCCUGGUCCUGGGGACUCAAAGAGGUGCACAUUUUAGUUUUUGCCUCAGCACUGCACUGCUGAUUUCAAAUGAUCAACUCAUCAGCAACUUCAAGUGGUAUGUAUGUAUUCAAUUGUGAUGCUGUCCUUGAGAUGAUCCUGUUUUUGUCACAUGCUACACAUGCCUAUAUGUGUGCCCUUGCAUCUAUCAACCCAAUGUUAUCAUGAUUUGUUACCUGGGGCGGAAGGUAGCCUAAUGGUUAGAGCAUUGAACUAGUAACCGAAAGGUUGCAAGAUCAAAUCACCGAGCUGACAAGGUUCAAAUCUGUCGUUCUGCCCCUGAACAAGGCAGUUUUAAAUUAACCCACUGUUCCUAGGCCUUCAUUGAAAAUAAGAAUUUGUUCAUAACUGACUUGCCUAGUUAUUUUUAAAAUCAGUGAUAUUAUACUUUUGUAAUCCACAAUGACCUGGUGAUGUAAAAGUCUAAUAAUUACAUUGUAUUCCAUAUUCCUACAGAUACCUUGUAACUGGAGAUGCCUUCAAAACGAUUGCCUACAGUUAACGUGUAGGGCACUGCAAGGUUUGGUGGUCAGGGCCAUCUGGGAAUGCCUCCUCAAAUCAAAUCAAAUCAAAUCAAAGUUUAUUUGUCACGUGCGGCGAAUACAACAGGUGUAAACCUUACAGUAAAAUGCUUACUUACAGGCUCUAACCAAUGGUGCCAAAAAAAAUGUGUGUGUGUGUGUAGGUAAGUAAAGAAAUAAAACAACAGUAGAAAGACAUUUGAAAAAAAGAGUAGCAAGGCUAUAUACAGACACCUAUUAGUCAGGCUUAUUGAGGUAGUAUGUACAUGCAGGUAUCGUUAAAGCUCUCAACCUGCUCCACUACAAACCCGUCGAUGAGAAUGGGGACGUGCUCAGUGCUCAUUUUCCUGUAGUCCACAAUCAUCUCCUGGAGGAAUUCAGGGUGUGAAGGCUACAUAACUUCAUGAGGAUGGACAUGAGGACCAGGAGUGGAUCUGCAGCUUGUGCAGCAAGAGAGGCAAUCCGUGUGCGGGAGAUCUUCACCUCCCACUUCUUCGAAGAGGGUGCUGUUCCCUGACAAUACCGUAGACUACACUAUGCACAAUCAAAGGCUCUUUUAAGAGCCAUUCGCAUUGCAAUAAGAGUAUUCUUCCAUUUACUUAACUAUGUUAACUGCAGUUAUUCAAUUUCCAGUUUCUCUCCCUUUGAUUUUUACUUCUCAGGUGAGGGUGCUGUUUAGGUAAGGGUGCGAUGUUUGUACAAAAACAGGCUAUUUUAAAUGACCCAUAUUGAAAAAAUGUAGAACAAUUAGACGCCCUUUAACCCACACCUACACACUCAUGUAUCAAUCUGAUUGAUGGAUUGUUGUGCAGUAAGCAGGUUCAGGUGUAGAACUGUGGCUCCUUUCCCCUUCAAAGAAUAGGCAAGAUGGCCAACCAUGGAGAAUAGUAAGACACUUCAUUAUUUCUAUAACUACGCAAUAUUGUAUGUGCCUGUGUGUCCGUUCAUGUUUUUCAGCAUAAAGUAAUCUGCAGCCACUUAGUGUCAAUAACAGUAACUCUCCUCUUCUUCCUAAAUCUUCUAGGUUAUAUCAGCUGUGUCGGUGAACCCCUCCCGCAUCUGAACUGGCUACAUAGAGGGCACAGCAUGAUCAGAGAUAUGUUUUGAUGUGAGAGAGAAUGCCAACCCCCAGUCCCAUCAUCGCCACCUCACCCGCUUUUAAGAUAACCUUCAGGUCGACGAGAGACACUAUGUAAUUGUGAUGAACUGAGAGAAUAUUUGGGUAGCACUGUGAUUCAUUAAUCAUUUUCUGCCUUCCCUGCUCCUAAGUUCUUACCUCUUUCCCUGUAUUUUACACCUCUCUCGCCACCUCUUUCUUCCUGUUUUUAUAAUGCACAACAAAUGUGCAUUGAAGUACAGAUUGAACUUGUAUUUAUAAUAUUACAAUUUUAAUAUUUAUAAUGCAUGUACUUAUAACACUUGGAUAAUGAACUUCUUUCAAUAAAGCGUUUCACAU